UUUUUUUUUUUGGGGGGGGUGGAGACAGGAACUUUAUUUUAAAGAAAUGUGUUUGAAUUCAACAUGACUGUAUUGUAUUAUGAUGGAAUUUAAAAGUGUUCAAACGAAUGAGAUAACGAAUGAGUAAGUUAAUGUGAGAAGAAGAUAACAAAAUGAAGACAUGAAGAGAGAGAGAGAGAGAGAGAGAGAGAGAGAGAGAGAGAGAGAGAGAGAGAGAGAGAGAGAGAGAGAGAGAGAGAGAGAGAGAGAGAGAGAAAGAGAGAGAGAGAGAGAGAGAGAGAGAGAGAGAGAGAGAGAGAGAGAGAGAGAGAGAGAGAGAGAGAGAGAGAGAGAGAGAGAGAGAGAGAGAGAGAGAAACGUUAAUGAAGUCCUGAAUAAAGCAACAGAUAGAAUAAAGCGAAAUAACUAAUUAUAAGACGAAUAAAACAAAACUUAAAAGUAACACAGUUGGUACAAUUCGUCGUUUGUUUUGGGUUUUGGAAGAUAUAAAUUAGUCAAUGGUUCGCAUUAAAGUUAUUAUCUAAGUUAUUAAUAACGCGGGCAACCUGAGACAGAGAAAUGAGAGUUAUGACUAAUAUAUCGCGUGUAGAUUAAUACGACAAAAAUAGCAAAUAAAAUGCAUAUGUGGAUUAAGCAGGAACAAUAACAUCUGUGUACGUAUUAUGUAUGUAGAACAUAUUAGUAUGUAAAUGUGCGGGGUUGUCCUCAGUCAAAAUAAUAUAAAAAAGUAAAGAUGACACAUGAACUUUCUUAGUAGUGUUGCAAUAGACAAAAAAUAAAGAAAAAAGAAUUAAGAAAGUGGGAAAUAUAAACGAUAUGGUAAAAAGACGGGGGGAAUAAAGAAAAGAGAAAAAAAUAAACACUACGAAAGAUUCUGUAUGUGUAGUAGAAUGAAUUGUAUGAAUGGAAGUAUGCGACGAAAAAUACGAAAAAUAGGAUUAAUAAAGGUAUGGCAAAUACGUAUAUAGAGUUAUAGAAUCAUUAACGUCACCAGUUACAUUAAUAGUGAGAUAGUGGAAUAUGAAAAGUUUCUAAUAAGAUAUUUCAUUAUCCCGUUUAUUAUACGAAAGACGGAAGGAACACACGAUAUACAAGAAGUAUUUUUCUCUUGUAUAACGUAUAAAUGUAUGAAUGACAACUUAGAUGCAGUAUUAAAAAAAAAAAAAAAAAAAAAAAA
Molecule: non-coding RNA, 1177 nt
Organism: Penaeus vannamei (Pacific white shrimp)
Lineage: Eukaryota; Metazoa; Arthropoda; Malacostraca; Decapoda; Penaeidae
Source: RefSeq, a predicted model, not a curated record